AGUGAACGCUGGCGGUAGGCCUAACACAUGCAAGUCGAACGGCAGCACAGUAAGAGCUUGCUCUUACGGGUGGCGAGUGGCGGACGGGUGAGGAAUACAUCGGAAUCUACUUUUUCGUGGGGGAUAACGUAGGGAAACUUACGCUAAUACCGCAUACGACCUACGGGUGAAAGCAGGGGAUCUUCGGACCUUGCGCGAUUGAAUGAGCCGAUGUCGGAUUAGCUAGUUGGCGGGGUAAAGGCCCACCAAGGCGAGGAUCCGUAGCUGGUCUGAGAGGAUGGGACGCGACAGUGGAACUGCGGCACGGCCCGGACCCCUACGGGAGGCCGCAGUCGGGAGUGUUACGCAAUGCGCGAAAGCGUGACGGAGCAGUGCCGGGUGAGUGAUGACGGUCUUCUGAUCCGAAAAUUCUGUUAUGAGCGAAGAACAUCUGUGUAAGUAAAUGUGAACAUCUUGACGGUAGCUAAUCAGAAAGCCACGGCUAACUACGUG
RNAcentral lists this ribosomal RNA (492 nucleotides) under uncultured bacterium. Its description in RNAcentral is "partial 16S ribosomal RNA". It matches the Rfam family "Bacterial small subunit ribosomal RNA", at positions 29 to 507 of the family's 1533-position model. The record is from RNAcentral.